GCCGGGCAUGGUGGCGCAUGCCUGUAAUUUCAGCUACUCCGGAGGCUGAGAUGGAAGAAUUGCUUGAACCCGGGAGGCGGAGAUUGCAGUGAGCUGAGAUCAUGCCACUGCAUCCCAGCCUGGGCAACAGAGCAAGACUCUGUCUCAA
This 148-nucleotide small RNA is filed under the name Pongo abelii (Sumatran orangutan). RNAcentral's name for it is "Metazoan signal recognition particle RNA (ENSPPYG00000038645.1)". The record is from Rfam by way of RNAcentral. Lineage: Eukaryota; Metazoa; Chordata; Mammalia; Primates; Hominidae.